This is a small nucleolar RNA of Dendrobium catenatum, 106 nucleotides long. NCBI's taxonomy places the organism in Eukaryota, Viridiplantae, Streptophyta, Magnoliopsida, Asparagales, Orchidaceae. The record is from RefSeq and is a predicted model, not a curated record.
AAAGUAUGGUGAGGACAUUUCCUAUCAUUUCCUUAAAUCUCUCCUAACUGCCAUAAAUUAAUUCUCCUUCAAAAUGUGUAAAAGAAGUGAUAUGGUUUCUAAGUUU